CAGCCGCCGCGGUAAUACCGGCGGCCCGAGUGGCGGUCACUAUUAUUGGGCUUAAAGCGUCCGUAGCCGGGGUGGGAAGUCCUCCGGGAAAUCUGGCCGCUUAACGGUCAGAAUGCCGGAGGAUACUCCCAGCCUAGGGAGCGGGAGAGGCCGAGGGUAUUCCCGGAGGAGGGGUGAAAUCCUAUAAUCCCGGGAGGACCACCUGUGGCGAAGGCGCUCGGCUGGAACGCGUCCGACGGUGAGGGACGAAGGCCAGGGGAGCAAACCGGAUUAGAUACCCGGGUAGUCCUGGCUGUAAACGAUGCGGACUUUGUGUCGGACAAGCUAUGAGCUUGUCCGGUGCCGGAGGGAAACCGUUAAGUCCGCCGCCUGGGGAGUACGGCCGCAAGGCUGAAACUUAAAGGAAUUGGCGGG
Molecule: ribosomal RNA, 414 nt
Filed under: uncultured microorganism
Description: bacterial SSU rRNA
Rfam family: Archaeal small subunit ribosomal RNA
Source: RNAcentral